RNAcentral lists this ribosomal RNA (466 nucleotides) under uncultured bacterium. RNAcentral's name for it is "bacterial SSU rRNA". It matches the Rfam family "Bacterial small subunit ribosomal RNA", at positions 28 to 534 of the family's 1533-position model. The record is from RNAcentral.
GAUUAACGCUAGCGGCAGGCCUAAUACAUGCAAGUCGAACGCCCGUAGCAAUACGGGAGUGGCGGACGGGUGAGUAACGCGUGGGAACGUACCCUGAGGUACGGAAUAACCGAGGGAAACUUCGGCUAAUACCGUAUGAGCCCCGCAAGGGGAAAGGAUUUAUCGCCUUGGGAGCGGCCCGCGUCGGAUUAGCUAGUUGGUGGGGUAACGGCCUACCAAGCCUACGAUCAGUAACUGGUGUGAGAGCACGACCAGUCACACGGGCACUGAGACACGGGCCCGACUCCUACGGGAGGCAGCAGUGGGGAAUCUUGGACAAUGGGCGCAAGCCUGAUCCAGCCAUGCCGCGUGAGUGAAGAAGGCCUUAGGGUUGUAAAGCUCUUUUGGUCAGGGACGAUAAUGACGGUACCUGCAGAAUAAGCCCCGGCAAACUUACGUGCCAGCAGCCGCGGUAAGUCUCGCGUGA